GCGUCUGGAAAGGCGCGCGAUACAGGGUGAGAGCCCCGUACACAAAAGCGCACAUGCUGUGAGCUCGAUGAGUAGGGCGGGACACGUGGUAUCCUGUCUGAAUAUGGGGGGACCAUCCUCCAAGGCUAAAUACUCCUGACUGACCGAUAGUGAACCAGUACCGUGAGGGAAAGGCGAAAAGAACCCCGGCGAGGGGAGUGAAACAGAACCUGAAACCGUGUACGUACAAGCAGUGGGAGCCUCUCUUUAUGGGGGGUGACUGCGUACCUUUUGUAUAAUGGGUCAGCGACUUAUAUUCUGUAGCAAGGUUAACCGCAUAGGGGAGCCGAAGGGAAACCGAGUCUUAAUUGGGCGUUAAGUUGCAGGGUAUAGACCCGAAACCCGGUGAUCUAGCCAUGGGCAGGUUGAAGGUUGGGUAACACUAACUGGAGGACCGAACCGACUAAUGUUGAAAAAUUAGCGGAUGACCUGUGGCUGGGGGUGAAAGGCCAAUCAAACCGGGAGAUAGCUGGUUCUCCCCGAAAGCUAUUUAGGUAGCGCCUCGUGAACUCAUCUCCGGGGGUAGAGCACUGUUUCGGCUAGGGGGCCAUCCCGGCUUACCAACCCGAUGCAAACUGCGAAUACCGGAGAAUGUUAUCACGGGAGACACACGGCGGGUGCUAACGUCCGUCGUGAAGAGGGAAACAACCCAGACCGCCAGCUAAGGUCCCAAAGUCAUGGUUAAGUGGGAAACGAUGUGGGAAGGCCCAGACAGCCAGGAUGUUGGCUUAGAAGCAGCCAUCAUUUAAAGAAAGCGUAAUAGCUCACUGGUCGAGUCGGCCUGCGCGGAAGAUGUAACGGGGCUAAACCAUGCACCGAAGCUGCGGCAGCGACACUUUAGUGUUGUUGGGUAGGGGAGCGUUCUGUAAGCCGUUGAAGGUGUCCUGUGAGGGGUGCUGGAGGUAUCAGAAGUGCGAAUGCUGACAUAAGUAACGAUAAAGCGGGUGAAAAGCCCGCUCGCCGGAAGACCAAGGGUUCCUGUCCAACGUUAAUCGGGGCAGGGUGAGUCGACCCCUAAGGCGAGGCCGAAAGGCGUAGUCGAUGGGAAACGGGUUAAUAUUCCCGUACUUGGUGUUACUGCGAAGGGGGGACGGAGAAGGCUAUGUUGGCCGGGCGACGGUAGUCCCGGUUUAAGCGUGUAGGUGUGUGUUCCAGGCAAAUCCGGUUCACUUUAACACUGAGGCGUGAUGACGAGGCACCACGGUGCUGAAGCAACAAAUGCCCUGCUUCCAGGAAAAGCCUCUAAGCAUCAGGUAACAUCAAAUCGUACCCCAAACCGACACAGGUGGUCAGGUAGAGAAUACCAAGGCGCUUGAGAGAACUCGGGUGAAGGAACUAGGCAAAAUGGUGCCGUAACUUCGGGAGAAGGCACGCUGACACGUAGGUGAAGUGAUUUACUCAUGGAGCUGAAGUCAGUCGAAGAUACCAGCUGGCUGCAACUGUUUAUUAAAAACACAGCACUGUGCAAACACGAAAGUGGACGUAUACGGUGUGACGCCUGCCCGGUGCCGGAAGGUUAAUUGAUGGGGUCAGCGCAAGCGAAGCUCCUGAUCGAAGCCCCGGUAAACGGCGGCCGUAACUAUAACGGUCCUAAGGUAGCGAAAUUCCUUGUCGGGUAAGUUCCGACCUGCACGAAUGGCGUAAUGAUGGCCAGGCUGUCUCCACCCGAGACUCAGUGAAAUUGAACUCGCUGUGAAGAUGCAGUGUACCCGCGGCAAGACGGAAAGACCCCGUGAACCUUUACUAUAGCUUGACACUGAACAUUGAGCCUUGAUGUGUAGGAUAGGUGGGAGGCUUUGAAGCGUGGACGCCAGUCUGCGUGGAGCCGACCUUGAAAUACCACCCUUUAAUGUUUGAUGUUCUAACGUGGACCCGUAAUCCGGGUUGCGGACAGUGUCUGGUGGGUAGUUUGACUGGGGCGGUCUCCUCCUAAAGAGUAACGGAGGAGCACGAAGGUUGGCUAAUCCUGGUCGGACAUCAGGAGGUUAGUGCAAUGGCAUAAGCCAGCUUGACUGCGAGCGUGACGGCGCGAGCAGGUGCGAAAGCAGGUCAUAGUGAUCCGGUGGUUCUGAAUGGAAGGGCCAUCGCUCAACGGAUAAAAGGUACUCCGGGGAUAACAGGCUGAUACCGCCCAAGAGUUCAUAUCGACGGCGGUGUUUGGCACCUCGAUGUCGGCUCAUCACAUCCUGGGGCUGAAGUAGGUCCCAAGGGUAUGGCUGUUCGCCAUUUAAAGUGGUACGCGAGCUGGGUUUAGAACGUCGUGAGACAGUUCGGUCCCUAUCUGCCGUGGGCGCUGGAAGACUGAGGGGGGCUGCUCCUAGUACGAGAGGACCGGAGUGGACGCAUCACUGGUGUUCGGGUUGUCAUGCCAAUGGCACUGCCCGGUAGCUAAAUGCGGAAAAGAUAAGUGCUGAAAGCAUCUAAGCACGAAACUUGCCCCGAGAUGAGUCUUCCCUGAGACUUUGAGUCUCCUGAAGGAACGUUAAAGACGAUGACGUUGAUAGGCCGGGUGUGUAAGCGCAGCGAUGCGUUGAGCUAACCGGUACUAAUGAACCGUGAGGCUUAACCUUACAACGCCGAAGGUGUUU
Molecule: ribosomal RNA, 2627 nt
Filed under: Salmonella enterica subsp. enterica serovar Infantis
Lineage: Bacteria; Pseudomonadati; Pseudomonadota; Gammaproteobacteria; Enterobacterales; Enterobacteriaceae
Description: partial 23S ribosomal RNA
Rfam family: Bacterial large subunit ribosomal RNA
Source: RNAcentral